GAUGAACGCUGGCGGCGUGCCUAAUACAUGCAAGUCGAGCGAACGGACGAGAAGCUUGCUUCUCUGAUGUUAGCGGCGGACGGGUGAGUAACACGUGGAUAACCUACCUAUAAGACUGGGAUAACUUCGGGAAACCGUAGCUAAUACCGGAUAAUAUUUUGAACCGCAUGGUUCAAAAGUGAAAGACGGUCUUGCUGUCACUUAAAGAUGGAUCCGCGCUGCAUUAGCUAGUUGGUAAGGUAACGGCUUACCAAGGCAACGAUGCAUAGCCGACCUGAGAGGGUGAUCGGCCACACUGGAACUGAGACACGGUCCAGACUCCUACGGGAGGCAGCAGUAGGGAAUCUUCCGCAAUGGGCGAAAGCCUGACGGAGCAACGCCGCGUGAGUGAUGAAGGUCUUCGGAUCGUAAAACUCUGUUAUUAGGGAAGAACAUAUGUGUAAGUAACUGUGCACAUCUUGACGGUAUCUAAUCAGAAAGCCACGGCUAACUACGUG
This 497-nucleotide ribosomal RNA is filed under the name uncultured bacterium. Its description in RNAcentral is "partial 16S ribosomal RNA". It matches the Rfam family "Bacterial small subunit ribosomal RNA", at positions 28 to 507 of the family's 1533-position model. The record is from RNAcentral.